Molecule: long non-coding RNA, 583 nt
Organism: Labrus mixtus (cuckoo wrasse)
Lineage: Eukaryota; Metazoa; Chordata; Actinopteri; Labriformes; Labridae
Exons: 2
Source: RefSeq, a predicted model, not a curated record
CCGGGGAAUUUUUUUUUAGUCUUAGGAUCUAAAGGAAUCAAAAGUCCAAACUGUUGAGGUGGCUUUUAAAAGGUGUCUCUCUGUCUUUAAAGAGGACAUAUCAUCCCCCUCCUCCACCUUUUCAAACAUCCCCCUGUGGUCUAAAUGAAACAUCUGUGCUGUGCUUUGGUCAAAAUAUAACAUGAAUCAAGCACCAGAGGAGGUUUGUGACCCUGUAUAAACCAGCUCUCUCAGAACGCUCUGUUUUGGUGUGUGUGUCUCUUUAAAUGCAAUAAGCCCCGCCCCCUGAGUUUUCCCAGUAGACAUCACUCCUCUGUAGUGAGAAUAAAAAUGGCGGACCUGCUCAAAAGUUUUGUUCUAGUCUGGGGGUGGAGUCCAUGGGUGGAGAUACCAGGGGAGGGGAGGGGAUUUUAUUUUACCAGAAUCCCACUGUGACAUCACAAGGAGAGCACAUUUGAAACAGAGCAUUUUUCUCUGUGUUGUAAGACUUAUGCAGACCACAAACAAAGGACUGGAUGGGUUUAUUUCACAUGUUGUGGGUCAGUAGACUCUCAGGUUACACAGAUAUAUGUUCAGAAACACU